Molecule: microRNA precursor, 74 nt
Filed under: Bombyx mori (domestic silkworm)
Lineage: Eukaryota; Metazoa; Arthropoda; Insecta; Lepidoptera; Bombycidae
Description: mir-2807 microRNA precursor family
Rfam family: mir-2807 microRNA precursor family
Source: Rfam by way of RNAcentral
UUAACUCAAAUUUGUAUGGACUUGGAACGUUUGCCGCUAGGGGCGCUGUUCCUACUGCAUACAAAUUUGAGUUA